GCUUGCGCCGCUUGCAGCACUUUCGACAAACGAGCCGUUCGUGCGCUUUCGCUGCUCUCGCUUGCUAACCACUUGUGAAGAAUGAUCAGCUCGAACGAAGAAGACGAAAUAGUUGGCAUUCAAGUCGCCGCUUCUUUAGCAACUUUUCAAGACGAGCAUCAGAAGGCUCGAAGGGAGACAGCCCGCCAACGCCGCUGGUUCUCUUGGCUGCAGGGGAGACGCGGCGCUCCUCAUUUUUCUAUUUUCUAUCUGGCUGGUUGCCUGAUUGUCGCCGAAGUAUGCCAGCCCAUUUUGGACGUCCUUGGGCCGAUUUACGUCGCUCGGCCAUCUACCGCGGAUGAAUGGCUAAAGGAAGCGAGGGACUUUGAGGACAAGUGGAACAUGCCACGUUGCCUGGGUGCGAUAGACGGAAAACACGAGAAUGUUGAGUGUCCGUCAGACUCUGGAAGCAGAGACCGAAACUACAAAAAUUCGUUCAGCAAGACGCUGCUCGCAUUGAAUGACGCCAACUACAGGGAGGCUGUUCAUGGCCAGGGUUCCGUGCAUUUUUGGCGUCUAUCAACAAAUCUGUGUGAGCGAAAUUUGUCAGCAUCAGCAGUGGCUCGUGCCACUGCUCGCUCAACCAUCGUCUUCUUGCACCGCUGGCUCCGUUGCCUCUCAUCAUGCCAGCGUUCCCCCUGCGAAGGCACUGACGGCA
Dermacentor albipictus is the source of this 697-nucleotide RNA transcript. RefSeq lists it as uncharacterized. Lineage: Eukaryota; Metazoa; Arthropoda; Arachnida; Ixodida; Ixodidae. The record is from RefSeq and is a predicted model, not a curated record.